RNAcentral lists this ribosomal RNA (482 nucleotides) under uncultured bacterium. Its description in RNAcentral is "bacterial SSU rRNA". It matches the Rfam family "Bacterial small subunit ribosomal RNA", at positions 30 to 506 of the family's 1533-position model. The record is from RNAcentral.
UUGAACGCUGGCGGAAUGCUUUACACAUGCAAGUCGAACGGCAGCACGGACUUCGGUCUGGUGGCGAGUGGCGAACGGGUGAGUAAUAUAUCGGAACGUGCCCAGUCGUGGGGGAUAACGUAGUGAAAAUUACGCUAAUACCGCAUACGAUCUAAGGAUGAAAGCGGGGGAUCGCAAGACCUCGCGCGAUUGGAGCGGCCGAUAUCAGAUUAGGUAGUUGGUGAGGUAAAGGCUCACCAAGCCAACGAUCUGUAGCUGGUCUGAGAGGACGACCAGCCACACUGGAACUGAGACACGGUCCAGACUCCUACGGGAGGCAGCAGUGGGGAAUUUUGGACAAUGGACGCAAGUCUGAUCCAGCCAUUCCGCGUGCAGGACGAAGGCCUUCGGGUUGUAAACUGCUUUUGUACAGAACGAAAAGGUCUCUAUUAAUACUAGGGGCUCAUGACGGUACUGUAAGAAUAAGCACCGGCUAACUACGU